Orcinus orca (killer whale) is the source of this 548-nucleotide long non-coding RNA. RefSeq lists it as uncharacterized. The transcript is spliced from 3 exons. NCBI's taxonomy places the organism in Eukaryota, Metazoa, Chordata, Mammalia, Artiodactyla, Delphinidae. The record is from RefSeq and is a predicted model, not a curated record.
UUCACAUUCCUGACCAACGAUGCAAAAAUCCUUUUUAUCUCACUUUUCAAUUCUGUUCUUUUAGUGGUAACUUCCUGGAAUACAUAUUGAAAAUAAUUCCUAUACCAUAAAAUCUCCAUGACUAAUUUGCCAUGUCUGCCAUUGGUGUGGAAAAAAGGAGUGGAAGUGUAUAUUCAUGUAUUUGACAUUCAAGAAGAAUGGGAGUAAGAAGUGAAAAGAAUGAAGGAGAAUAAGAAAGGCCGGUGAAUAUUUGUGUUGUAUGCAGAAAGUGAGAUAUGGGAGGAAUAUCAUAUGAAGAAAUGGAAGAUUCCCAAGGAGAGGGCAAGGUUUAUGCUUCAAGAUCACAUGACAAGAAAGUACCAGACACCCUUGGAAACGCGAUGCUACGUCUCAAUGGGAUUUUCCAGUACAAAGAUUCUUUUCAAAGAACAUAAUUGUGGAUACACACCACUCCUACAGAGAGUGUGUCUUGCGGUGACAGAAGACAGCAUGAUGAGGAAGUUAAGGAAGUAAGAAAAUUAGAAUUUAGGAUGUCAGCAUCUUGAGGU